UCCUCUCAAGGCUCGGCUUUCCACUCAAG
RNAcentral lists this non-coding RNA (29 nucleotides) under Homo sapiens (human). Lineage: Eukaryota; Metazoa; Chordata; Mammalia; Primates; Hominidae. The record is from RNAcentral.